RNAcentral lists this Y RNA (121 nucleotides) under Microcebus murinus (gray mouse lemur). RNAcentral describes it as "Y RNA (ENSMICG00000022295.3)". It matches the Rfam family "Y RNA". From Rfam's summary of the family: Y RNAs are components of the Ro ribonucleoprotein particle (Ro RNP), in association with Ro60 and La proteins. The Y RNAs and Ro60 and La proteins are well conserved, but the function of the Ro RNP is not known. Lineage: Eukaryota; Metazoa; Chordata; Mammalia; Primates; Cheirogaleidae. The record is from Rfam by way of RNAcentral.
AGCUGGUUGGAAGGUAGUGAGUUAGCUCAGUUGGUUGUUCACAGUCAAUACACUCAAUUACAGAUGAAUUUCUUUGUUCUACUCUUUACCCCUUCUCACUACAGCACUUGACUAGUCCUAA